UUCGCGAUAUGAUGAUCAAGCUUUUUCAAAUACAGUUAUCCCUGUCUGAAGUUCUUUGUUGAUAUAGUCUAAAUUUCUGAUCCUACC
Molecule: small nucleolar RNA, 87 nt
Organism: Colletotrichum salicis
Lineage: Eukaryota; Fungi; Ascomycota; Sordariomycetes; Glomerellales; Glomerellaceae
Rfam family: Small nucleolar RNA R38
About the family: snoR38 is a C/D box small nucleolar RNA conserved across yeast, human, Arabidopsis and rice. It is encoded in the intron of elongation factor-1 gamma in both pombe and cerevisiae. snoR38 guides the methylation of 2'-O-ribose sites in 28S rRNA.
Source: Rfam